AGUGAACGCUGGCGGUAGGCCUAACACAUGCAAGUCGAACGGCAGCACAGUAAGAGCUUGCUCUUACGGGUGGCGAGUGGCGGACGGGUGAGGAAUACAUCGGAAUCUACUUUUUCGUGGGGGAUAACGUAGGGAAACUUACGCUAAUACCGCAUACGACCUACGGGUGAAAGCAGGGGAUCUUCGGACCUUGCGCGAUUGAAUGAGCCGAUGUCGGAUUAGCUAGUUGGCGGGGUAAAGGCCCACCAAGGCGACGAUCCGUAGCUGGUCUGAGAGGAUGAUCAGCCACACUGGAACUGAGACACGGUCCAGACUCCUACGGGAGGCAGCAGUGGGGAAUAUUGGAAAAUGGGGGCAAGCCUGAUCCAGCCAUACCGCGUGGGUGAAGAAGGCCUUCGGGUUGUAAAGCCCUUUUGUUGGGAAAGAAAAGCAGCAGGUUAAUACCCCGCUGUUCUGACGGUACCCAAAGAAUAAGCACCGGCUAACUUCGUG
RNAcentral lists this ribosomal RNA (492 nucleotides) under uncultured bacterium. RNAcentral's name for it is "partial 16S ribosomal RNA". It matches the Rfam family "Bacterial small subunit ribosomal RNA", at positions 29 to 507 of the family's 1533-position model. The record is from RNAcentral.